GCCUCCGUAGCUUAGUAGUAUAGCGCGACAUUGGUAAUGUCGAGGUCGAGGGUGCAACUCCCUUCGGAGGCU
RNAcentral lists this transfer RNA (72 nucleotides) under Candidatus Woesearchaeota archaeon CG10_big_fil_rev_8_21_14_0_10_37_12. RNAcentral describes it as "tRNA-Thr". It matches the Rfam family "tRNA". Rfam says of the family: Transfer RNA (tRNA) molecules are approximately 80 nucleotides in length. Lineage: Archaea; Nanobdellati; Candidatus Woesearchaeota. The record is from RNAcentral.